GCUGGCGGCGUGCUUAACACAUGCAAGUCGAACGAGAAAGGAUUCUUCGGAAUCCGAGUAAAGUGGCGCACGGGUGAGUAACGCGUAGAUAAUCUGUCCUUGUGUUUGGGAUAACCCUUCGAAAGGGGGACUAAUACCGAAUAUAUUCGUACCUGUUGGGGUAUGAAGUAAAGGUGGCCUCUAUUUAUAAGCUAUCGCACGGGGAGGAGUCUGCGUACCAUUAGCUAGUUGGUGGGGUAAUGGCCUACCAAGGCAACGAUGGUUAGCGGGUCUGAGAGGAUGAUCCGUCACACUGGCACUGAAACACGGGCCAGACUCCUACGGGAGGCAGCAGUGAGGAAUAUUGCGCAAUGGGGGAAACCCUGACGCAGCGACGCCGCGUGAGUGAGGAAGGCCUUCGGGCCGUAAAGCUCUGUCAGUAGGGAAGAAAUGUUAUAUGGUUAAUACCCUUAUAAUUUGACGGUACCUACAAAGGAAGCACCGGCUAACUCCGUGCCAGCAGCCGCGGUAAUACGGAGGGUGCAAGCGUUGUUCGGAAUCACUGGGCGUAAAGGGCGCGCAGGCGGUUUUAUUAGUCAGAUGUGAAAGCCCACGGCUCAACCGUGGAAGUGCAUUUGAAACUGUAAGACUUGAGUACCAGAGGGGGUAGUGGAAUUCCCGGUGUAGAGGUGAAAUUCGUAGAUAUCGGGAGGAAUACCGGUGGCGAAGGCGACUACCUGGCUGGAUACUGACGCUGAGGCGCGAAAGCGUGGGGAGCAAACAGGAUUAGAUACCCUGGUAGUCCACGCCGUAAACGAUGU
This 800-nucleotide ribosomal RNA is filed under the name uncultured bacterium. Its description in RNAcentral is "bacterial SSU rRNA". It matches the Rfam family "Bacterial small subunit ribosomal RNA", at positions 35 to 812 of the family's 1533-position model. The record is from RNAcentral.